Molecule: long non-coding RNA, 1322 nt
Filed under: Trifolium pratense (red clover)
Lineage: Eukaryota; Viridiplantae; Streptophyta; Magnoliopsida; Fabales; Fabaceae
Description: long non-coding RNA (TPRA_LNC000988)
Source: RNAcentral
CAAACCCCACACGGCCACACCCAGAUCAAUAUUAGAGAGUAUACUUACUCUUGCAGAAAAUUGAUCAUAAACUACUUGAAAGACGACGUCGUUGAGUAGUUCAUGCGUGGCUUUCUUCUGCAAUUGAAUUUCACGCUGCGACUGCGAACAAGAAGAAGAAAAUGUCAUCACUGUUUAUGAGAUUAACAAGGUUUCCUUCAAAACCCUUUUUUCCCUUUACUUUAAGGUUAUUCUCUCACUCUCACAAUGUUAAUGUUAAUGAUGUUAAUGAUGAUGCUAUUUACUCAUUCAAUCGAAUGCUACAAAUGCGUAAUACUCCUUCCAUUAUUGAAUUUAACAAGAUUUUAUGUUCCCUUGUUAAAAUGAAGAAUAAUUACUCAACUGUUAUUUCCCUUUCCCAACAAAUGGAAUUCCAUGGAAUUAGACCUGACAUUUUAACUAUCACCAUUUUGANNNNNNNNNNNNNNNNNNNNNNNNNNNNNNCUUAUAAAAGGCCUUUGUCUUAAAAAUGACAUUCAGAAAGCAUUGUACUUUCAUGAUGAUCUUAUCGCUAAGGGAUUUCAGCUCAACCAGGUUAGUUACGGGACAUUGAUCAAUGGGUUGUCUAAAAUGGGUCAAACAACAGCUGCCCUCCAACUGUUGAGACGGCUCGAAAAAGGAUCAGUCAAGCCUGAUUUAGUAAUUUACAGUACAAUCAUUGACAGCAUGUGCAAAGAUAAGCUUGUAGAUGAUGCUUGUGAAUUAUUUUCUGAAAUGGUUAACAAGGGAAUUUUUCCAAACGUUGUCACUUAUAGUGCUCUAAUCUAUGGUUUUUGUAUUGUGAAUAAAUUAAAAGAAGCAAUUGUUUUGUUGAACGAAAUGGUAUCGAAAAACAUCAACCCAGAUGUUUAUACCUUUAGUAUAUUGAUUGAUGCGUUUUGUAAAGAGGGAAAGAUGAAAGAAGCUAAAAGUAUGUUAGCUGUGAUGAUGAAACAAGGUACGAAACCUAAUGUAAUUACUUAUAAUACUUUAAUGGAUGGGUUCUGCCUUCGUAAUGAAGUGAAAAAGGCAUUACAUAUAUUUAACACUAUGAUUCAAAGGGGAGUGAUGCCCGAUGUUAAGAGCUACAACAUCAUGAUAAAUGGAUUUUGUAAGAGUGAAAUGGUGGAUGAAGCCAUCAAACUCUUUGAAGAAAUGUAUUUAAAAAAUAUGAUUCCUAAUACAGUAACAUACAACACUCUUAUUGAUGGCUUGUGCAAAUCAGGGAGAAUUGCAUAUGCUUGGGAGCUUGUAGAUGAGAUGUGUGACAGAGGCCAACCGCCCAAUGUAAUCACCUACAAUUC